GCGGUAGAGAGAAGCUUGCUUCUCUUGAGAGCGGCGGACGGGUGAGUAAUGCCUAGGAAUCUGCCUGGUAGUGGGGGAUAACGUUCGGAAACGGACGCUAAUACCGCAUACGUCCUACGGGAGAAAGCAGGGGACCUUCGGGCCUUGCGCUAUCAGAUGAGCCUAGGUCGGAUUAGCUAGUUGGUGGGGUAAUGGCUCACCAAGGCGACGAUCCGUAACUGGUCUGAGAGGAUGAUCAGUCACACUGGAACUGAGACACGGUCCAGACUCCUACGGGAGGCAGCAGUGGGGAAUAUUGGACAAUGGGCGAAAGCCUGAUCCAGCCAUGCCGCGUGUGUGAAGAAGGUCUUCGGAUUGUAAAGCACUUUAAGUUGGGAGGAAGGGCCGUUACCUAAUACGUGAUGGUUUUGACGUUACCGACAGAAUAAGCACCGGCUAACUCUGUGCCAGCAGCCGCGGUAAUACAGAGGGUGCAAGCGUUAAUCGGAAUUACUGGGCGUAAAGCGCGCGUAGGUGGUUUGUUAAGUUGGAUGUGAAAUCCCCGGGCUCAACCUGGGAACUGCAUUCAAAACUGACUGACUAGAGUAUGGUAGAGGGUGGUGGAAUUUCCUGUGUAGCGGUGAAAUGCGUAGAUAUAGGAAGGAACACCAGUGGCGAAGGCGACCACCUGGACUGAUACUGACACUGAGGUGCGAAAGCGUGGGGAGCAAACAGGAUUAGAUACCCUGGUAGUCCACGCCGUAAACGAUG
RNAcentral lists this ribosomal RNA (750 nucleotides) under uncultured Pseudomonas sp. RNAcentral describes it as "bacterial SSU rRNA". It matches the Rfam family "Bacterial small subunit ribosomal RNA", at positions 66 to 811 of the family's 1533-position model. Lineage: Bacteria; Pseudomonadati; Pseudomonadota; Gammaproteobacteria; Pseudomonadales; Pseudomonadaceae. The record is from RNAcentral.